AGCCAAAUAUUUACAUUUUGUAACUUGAGCUUGUGUACAUGUUGGUUUUGUGUGCUCUGUCAUUGCUCUCCCUAAACCUGUAAGUGAGUGUUUUGCAAGUAAGAAAAAUCGUGCAGGGGACAGUGUGCAAGUGGCCACAGCUACACCACCAUCGGCAGUACCAGAAAACAACUGCACCAAAAAAACAGUCGAAGAGGCUGCUUGCUCAAACCAAGCGGCUCAGCAGACGGUGCCUGAAUUUUCCUUGUGUGAUGGUGGGCUGUUCCAUCUAUCCAGGAACAUUUUUAUCUCACAGGAGCAAGCAGCUAAGCUGUUCAAAAAUAAGAAAGCCACAAUAUUGGUUAGAGAUGCUGCUCAAGUUGUGUGGGGUUUCCACACGCUUGCGCAGAGAAGUGUGAGCGGUCGGUUGGCACCCACAAAAGCCAACAGUGGGCUGGAGCCAUCCAAACAGCUCACGCCGAAAAAAGUGGAGGUUAUUUACGGAUGCCUGGCCCACUGGGGCAGUGUGAAUAAUGUGGAUACCACGCUGGCCCACCACAACGUCAUGCGCACUUUAUCAGAAAAAAUUCAAGACUGCAAGAAGAAGCUGCGCAUGAAUUGACAUUGCAAAGCUGCACCUAUGUGACGUGAUAUGUUUGAGUUAAAUACAUAUUAGAUCUUACACCACAGUCGUUUCUUUAUUUGCACAUGAGCUACUGGUGAAAACCACGUGCCGCAGUGCAUUUUUUUCUAGGUUCCAGCAAGUUGAAAGUAGCUGGUGUCAUCUGUUGUCCGCGGUAAAUCUAGGGGACCGCAGCAUUAAAGCUAGGAUCACUUUCUCUAGAGGCAAAAAAAGGGCCUAUUUUUCAACUGCGGUGACCGGUGCUGUGUACCACCACGGACUGUGGAUCUAGCUAGAACCUCUUCCAGCCAAAUUCCAGCUAGCAGUUCUUGCAGCUGGAUCCAGCUGGGAGACAUUCCAGUUGGGAGUCAUUCCAGCUGGAUUAUGGAACCGGAAAUUUUCUCCAGCUGGAUUUUUUCCAGCUGCCUUCCCAGCUAGAAAAGUCUCCAGCUGGAUUUUUUCCAGCUGCCUUCCCAGCUAGAAAAGUAUCCAGCUGGAUGAAAUUUCCGGUUCCAUAAUCCAGCUGGAAGUAAAAACUUUUUC
This is a long non-coding RNA of Dermacentor silvarum, 1144 nucleotides long. RefSeq lists it as uncharacterized. The transcript is spliced from 4 exons. The record is from RefSeq and is a predicted model, not a curated record. NCBI's taxonomy places the organism in Eukaryota, Metazoa, Arthropoda, Arachnida, Ixodida, Ixodidae.